AAUGACGUGGUGUAAUGGUAACAUAUCGGUUUGUCGAGCCGUAAGCUGUUGGUUCGAAUCCAACCGUUAGUG
Molecule: transfer RNA, 72 nt
Filed under: archaeon
Lineage: Archaea
Description: tRNA-Asp
Rfam family: tRNA
About the family: Transfer RNA (tRNA) molecules are approximately 80 nucleotides in length. Their secondary structure includes four short double-helical elements and three loops (D, anti-codon, and T loops). Further hydrogen bonds mediate the characteristic L-shaped molecular structure. tRNAs have two regions of fundamental functional importance: the anti-codon, which is responsible for specific mRNA codon recognition, and the 3' end, to which the tRNAs corresponding amino acid is attached (by aminoacyl-tRNA synthetases). tRNAs cope with the degeneracy of the genetic code in two manners: having more than one tRNA (with a specific anti-codon) for a particular amino acid; and 'wobble' base-pairing, i.e. permitting non-standard base-pairing at the 3rd anti-codon position.
Source: RNAcentral